Molecule: ribosomal RNA, 259 nt
Filed under: uncultured bacterium
Lineage: Bacteria
Description: partial 16S ribosomal RNA
Rfam family: Bacterial small subunit ribosomal RNA
Source: RNAcentral
CGCACGGGUGAGUAACACGUAUGGAACCUGCCCUAUGCAGGGGGAUAAGCGGAAGAAAUUCCGUCUAAUACCGCAUAACACCAUUUGGAGGCAUCUCCAGGUGGUCAAAGGAGGCGACUCCGGCAUAGGAUGGCCAUGCGUCGCAUUAGCUAGUCGGCGGGGUAACGGCCCACCGAGGCGACGAUGCGUAGGGGUUCUGAGAGGAAGGUCCCCCACACUGGUACUGAGACACGGACCAGACUCCUACGGGAGGCAGCAG